RNAcentral lists this ribosomal RNA (432 nucleotides) under uncultured bacterium. Its description in RNAcentral is "bacterial SSU rRNA". It matches the Rfam family "Bacterial small subunit ribosomal RNA", at positions 29 to 459 of the family's 1533-position model. The record is from RNAcentral.
AUUAAACGCUGGCGGCAUGCCUUACACAUGCAAGUCGAACGGCAGCACGGGGGCAACCCUGGUGGCGAGUGGCGGACGGGUGAGUAAAGCAUCGGAACGUAUCCUGGAGUGGGGGAUAACGUAGCGAAAGUUACGCUAAUACCGCAUAUUCUGUGAGCAGGAAAGCAGGGGAUCGCAAGACCUUGCGCUCUGGGAGCGGCCGAUGUCGGAUUAGCUAGUUGGUGGGGUAAAGGCCUACCAAGGCGACGAUCCGUAGCGGGUCUGAGAGGAUGAUCCGCCACACUGGGACUGAGACACGGCCCAGACUCCUACGGGAGGCAGCAGUGGGGAAUUUUGGACAAUGGGCGGAAGCCUGAUCCAGCCAUGCCGCGUGAGUGAAGAAGGCCUUCGGGUUGGUUAAAGUACGUCUUUCGGUCGGGGAAGGAAAGUUAG